UAAUGAUGGUGAAGGCAAUUUUUGAGAAUACUUUUAAAUCUCUCCCAACCUUGGUGGAGAUUCUCUUUUUCUUUCUGUCUGAAACUCAUAAUCUUACUUCUCAAACA
This is a non-coding RNA of Capsicum annuum, 107 nucleotides long. NCBI's taxonomy places the organism in Eukaryota, Viridiplantae, Streptophyta, Magnoliopsida, Solanales, Solanaceae. The record is from Rfam.